CCACCGCCGCCGCCAAGCGCGCCGUCGCCGCUCGCCAGGGUGCGGCUCGACGACGUGGCGCCACACGACGGCGCGGCCGCCCCGGGCUACGCGCGCGCCGUCGGCGCCCUCGCCGCCUCGCUCGCCCGCCGCGGCGCCGCCGUGCUCGAGCUCCCCGCCGACGACGCGGCCGUCAUCCGCUGCGCCCUCGAAUCCGCCCGCGCCUUCUUCCGCGGCCGCCACGCCGCCUACCUCUACCGCGCCGGGAGGACUUUGGAAGAUGGAGAGUUGUCGCCUGCUUGCAUGGCUGAUGCUUUCAGAUGUUUGGGCAAAGCAGCCCGGGCCGCCCUCUGUGCAAUAGCACGGCACCUGCGCCUACGUACCGACGUAUUCAACCAAUUACUUGAUGAUACUCCACUGCCGGUUAACGAGGUCUCCUCAUCAGAGUUGCUGGUGGCAUAUUCUCAUGAACAGCCCCAAAGUGGUCACUCACUCAUGGGAUGUCCCAGCAGGUCCUCAAUGCCUCAAGUUGAUAGGGGAUUUGUGACGCUAGUUGCUUCCGAUUGUCCAGGAAUUGAGGUUUGUGACCCAAAUGGCCAUUGGUACCUAGCUGAUGGGGUUUCAGGCCCAAAUAAUCUAUUGCUUCUGACUGGAAGGGCCCUAAGUCAUGUUACUGCUGGUCUUUGCCCAAUUUCCCACUACAGGGUCACUAAUGAGAAUAGGGCAUCACUCACCUUUAGGUUGGUGCCUCAUGCCAACGCUAUAUUGGAUUGCUCUCCAAUUUUAGCUGCUGGGCAUUGCAUACGACAGGUGUACCAACCCAUACCUGCAAGCCAAUUUAUGGAUGAUUCUUAUGCUGAAGAGCACGCUGUUUCCAGUCACUUGGAAGAACCUUUUGAAUCUCAGGGCAACUUUGUUAGCGACCCAUCACUCAGAAGUGUCCUGUCAGACCCUCUGUCUGGGGCUUUUCUUGAAGAUGCUAUGGUUCUCCAAUGUGGGCACUCAUUUGGUGGCGUCAUGCUGAAGAAAGUCAUUGAAAUGGCUAGAUGCACCAUUUGCAAUGGAGAAGUCGACACAUCCUCCUUGUUUCCUAAUCUCGCUUUAAGAGCAGUAGCCACGGUGGUGAAGAUGGAGGAUGACAGGAGACUGUUUCAUAACGCCGCUCUUCGGAAGCGCAGGAAAGAUGUAACCGAGCAUACGAAUGUGCUGAAGCGGAGUGGGAGUAGCAAAGUGUGUGUAUAA
RNAcentral lists this ribosomal RNA (1221 nucleotides) under Triticum aestivum (bread wheat). Its description in RNAcentral is "partial small subunit ribosomal RNA". Lineage: Eukaryota; Viridiplantae; Streptophyta; Magnoliopsida; Poales; Poaceae. The record is from RNAcentral.